RNAcentral lists this ribosomal RNA (432 nucleotides) under uncultured bacterium. RNAcentral's name for it is "partial 16S ribosomal RNA". It matches the Rfam family "Bacterial small subunit ribosomal RNA", at positions 29 to 507 of the family's 1533-position model. The record is from RNAcentral.
ACGAACGCUGGCGGCAUGCCUAACACAUACAAGUCGAACGAGACCUUCGGGUCUAGUGGCGCACGGGUGCGUAACGCGUGGGAAUCUGCCCUUGGGUUCGGAAUAACAGUUGGAAACGACUGCUAAUACCGGAUGAUGACGUAAGUCCAAAGAUUUAUCGCCCAAGGAUGAGCCCGCGUAGGAUUAGCUAGUUGGUGAGGUAAAGGCUCACCAAGGCGACGAUCCUUAGCUGGUCUGAGAGGAUGAUCAGCCACACUGGGACUGAGACACGGCCCAGACUCCUACGGGAGGCAGCAGUGGGGAAUAUUGGACAAUGGGCGAAAGCCUGAUCCAGCAAUGCCGCGUGAGUGAUGAAGGCCUUAGGGUUGUAAAGCUCUUUUACCCGGGAUGAUAAUGACAGUACCGGGAGAAUAAGCUCCGGCUAACUCCGUG